Danaus plexippus (monarch butterfly) is the source of this 1389-nucleotide long non-coding RNA. RefSeq lists it as uncharacterized. The record is from RefSeq and is a predicted model, not a curated record. Lineage: Eukaryota; Metazoa; Arthropoda; Insecta; Lepidoptera; Nymphalidae. The transcript is spliced from 3 exons.
GCAUAAAAGUAAUAUCACAACCGAGCAUUGUAUUUGGUUUAUAAAAAAAUGAUCCUUAUGUAAUUUUUGGUACAAAUUUUUGUCUAUUACUAAUGUUCUAAAUAGUAUUGUUGAUUUAAUUCGGCGUAUUGGAUUAAGGGGGCACACGAACAGGCGAGCCAACUGAUGGUAAGUGGUCAUCGCCGCCCAUGAACACUUGUGGAGCCUGAAGACUCUAGAGUGCGUUGCCGGCCUUGUUCAUGAGAUUAGUGGGAUGCGAUACGACAUCCUCGUGAAUUAUUGAGGCCAAAAUCAAUCGGGUUCAAUGUAUGCCGAGCGGACGUCAUAGUUUGCUUCCAUAAAGCUUUUUUUAUGAACACUAUAUAUUCAAAGAGAUUCAAAGGAUUUUGAAUAGCUAAUACUCGCAAAUAUUUUUUUGUUAUACCUGAGUUUUUUUGGUUUGACAUGAAAAAGUCAGGAAUUUGAGAAUAAAUUCAUGUGUAUUGAAAUAUAUUCCUUGAAUUCAUAUAUUCUAAUUUAUAAUUUUAAUAUAUUAUCAUAUUAUAUUUAUAAACAAAAUUGGAUGACAGCGUCAUAGUGUGCAUAUUUACAACAUACAUCGCAAUAUAUUAACAUAAAUUUUGUAUGCAAUAUAGUGGAAAGCCAACAAGUGUGUCAAUUAAAAUCAGAAUCUAUUUAUAAACUAGACCUUAUUGUGUAUAGUUAAACAACAUUAAGGACAUUUCUAAACCAUUCGUUUGUAUAUAAAUUCAAAAUAACAUGAAUUUAACAAAGAUUUAAGAUUACAAAUUUAAAUGCUAUCUAUUUUGACUGCACAUAAGCUGAUAGUAAACUUUAUUGCAACUAACUAAAUAGUCAGCCUACCAACUGAAUACUCGCUAUUUUCGCUUUAUUAAAAAUUUCACUUUUACCUGUUUUAUUUUUAUAUUUACAGGGAUAAUUAUAUAUAGCUUCAUGCCAUUUACAACUCAAGCGAUGGUAACUAGUACUCAAACGGUGUCCUUCUACUAAGCGUUGAUAUUUAAAAAGAUAUUAACAUCAUUAAAAAUAUUUAUCAAUCAUACAUUUCUUCAAAUCACUGUUCAUAUUUAUUAUCAAUAAUAAAUUUGAAAUGGUAUUUAUAAAAAAAAAUUAAAACUUCAAAUACAAAAUAAAUAGUUAAAUGUAUAAUGGAUUACCAGAACCUAACUACAAAAUUAGAUAGUGGCCUUAGCCGACGUAAAAGGCAACUUUAAUUUUAGAAAAAUUUAUUCAACACUCUAGGGACCGCGCCAGGCCAGACCGACCAGACAUUUAUUAUCUUUUGUCGAGUCAGAGCCAGCGACGGCAGCGCCGGAGAGGCCUCCUGCUAACGACAUAUUUUCAUUGUCGUUUUCACGUUAAGCUGAU